This 253-nucleotide ribosomal RNA is filed under the name uncultured bacterium. Its description in RNAcentral is "partial 16S ribosomal RNA". It matches the Rfam family "Bacterial small subunit ribosomal RNA", at positions 524 to 776 of the family's 1533-position model. The record is from RNAcentral.
UACGUAGGGUGCGAGCGUUGUCCGGAAUUACUGGGCGUAAAGCGUGUGUAGGCGGCUCCGCAAGUCGGAUGUGAAAGCCCCGGGCUCAACCCGGGAAGUGCACUCGAUACUGCGGAGCUAGAGUGUCGGAGAGGUUGGUGGAAUUCUCGGUGUAGAGGUGAAAUUCGUAGAUAUCGAGAGGAACACCGGUGGCGAAGGCGGCCAACUGGACGAACACUGACGCUGAGACACGAAAGCGUGGGGAGCAAACAGG